GAAAAUGUAAAGACGGAGAGGAUUAGAUAGGUAAGUGUAUCAGAGAGGACAGUUCAUUGGCUGAAAGGCUGUCUUGCUUACUGCUUGUUGAAGGUAGCUCCUGAACAGUAUCUUUGAAGGCGAGUAGGAGAUACCGGGUAAUCCCGUUAUAGAAGAAAAGGCAGCAUAUUGCUGUAAAUAAAGGUGGUACCACGGUUCUUCGUCCUUUUC
This 210-nucleotide non-coding RNA is filed under the name Anaerocolumna jejuensis. Its description in RNAcentral is "T-box sequence". It matches the Rfam family "T-box leader". From Rfam's summary of the family: Uncharged tRNA acts as the effector for transcription antitermination of genes in the T-box leader family. Lineage: Bacteria; Bacillati; Bacillota; Clostridia; Lachnospirales; Lachnospiraceae. The record is from RNAcentral.